This 933-nucleotide ribosomal RNA is filed under the name Bacillus sp. (in: firmicutes). RNAcentral describes it as "bacterial SSU rRNA". It matches the Rfam family "Bacterial small subunit ribosomal RNA", at positions 56 to 969 of the family's 1533-position model. Lineage: Bacteria; Bacillati; Bacillota; Bacilli; Caryophanales; Bacillaceae. The record is from RNAcentral.
UGCAAGUCGAGCGGAAGAUGGGAGCUUGCUCCCUGAUGUUAGCGGCGGACGGGUGAGUAACACGUGGGUAACCUGCCUGUAAGACUGGGAUAACUCCGGGAAACCGGGGCUAAUACCGGAUGGUUGUUUGAACCGCAUGGUUCAGACAUAAAAGGUGGCUUCGGCUACCACUUACAGAUGGACCCGCGGCGCAUUAGCUAGUUGGUGAGGUAACGGCUCACCAAGGCGACGAUGCGUAGCCGACCUGAGAGGGUGAUCGGCCACACUGGGACUGAGACACGGCCCAGACUCCUACGGGAGGCAGCAGUAGGGAAUCUUCCGCAAUGGACGAAAGUCUGACGGAGCAACGCCGCGUGAGUGAUGAAGGUUUUCGGAUCGUAAAGCUCUGUUGUUAGGGAAGAACAAGUGCCGUUCAAAUAGGGCGGCACCUUGACGGUACCUAACCAGAAAGCCACGGCUAACUACGUGCCAGCAGCCGCGGUAAUACGUAGGUGGCAAGCGUUGUCCGGAAUUAUUGGGCGUAAAGGGCUCGCAGGCGGUUUCUUAAGUCUGAUGUGAAAGCCCCCGGCUCAACCGGGGAGGGUCAUUGGAAACUGGGGAACUUGAGUGCAGAAGAGGAGAGUGGAAUUCCACGUGUAGCGGUGAAAUGCGUAGAGAUGUGGAGGAACACCAGUGGCGAAGGCGACUCUCUGGUCUGUAACUGACGCUGAGGAGCGAAAGCGUGGGGAGCGAACAGGAUUAGAUACCCUGGUAGUCCACGCCGUAAACGAUGAGUGCUAAGUGUUAGGGGGUUUCCGCCCCUUAUUGCUGCAGCUAACUCAUCNNNUCACUCCUCCUGUGGAGUACGGUCGCNAGACUGAAACUCACCGGAAUUGACUGGGCGCCCGCACAAGCUGCGGAGCAUGUGGUUUAAUUCUAAGCACCGCGUAAGAA